Molecule: ribosomal RNA, 356 nt
Filed under: uncultured Glomeromycotina
Lineage: Eukaryota; Fungi; Glomeromycota
Description: partial large subunit ribosomal RNA
Source: RNAcentral
UUGAAAGGGAAACGAUUGAAGUCAGUCGUGCUGGCCCGAAAUCAACCUCCUCUCGGGAGACCCAUGUUGUGCGACCCUCAAACCCCCCCCCGCCAUUGUCUCCCGAUGAGGGGGAGCCUUUCGUGUCCGCUCGUUACAUCAAUUUCGACCGUCAUAAAAAGCCUGGAGGGAUGGGGCUCCUUCGGGAGUGUUAUACCCUUUAGCGGAAUGUGGUGUUCGGGAUUGAGGAUUCACCGAAUACCUUUAGGGUGUUCCACCUGUUUCUCUGGGUAUCCUGGUACCACAGCUCCCUGACGGGGUAAGACCCCCCCUUGAACACGCUAGAGUCGAGCAACUUCGUUAAGGAUGUUGACGUA